Molecule: long non-coding RNA, 2065 nt
Filed under: Marmota monax (woodchuck)
Lineage: Eukaryota; Metazoa; Chordata; Mammalia; Rodentia; Sciuridae
Source: RNAcentral
GGCUGGGGCGGGGUCGUCGCGCCUCCGCCCGCCCAGAAACAAGAUCCCGCUAAUCCGCUGCGCCGACUGGUCGGACCACCGCGCUGCGUUCGGAGCCCCGCCGGGCAGCGGGGACCAUGCGAGGGAUGAGGCUGGCACUUCUGGCGUUGGCUCUGGCCACCUGCGGGGAGCUCGGUGAGGGGCGCGGGGCUGGUGCGGGACAAGUUCUAAGCAGGACUGGUGGGUGGGUCUGUGCUCUGCAGGACGCCCUCACCUGUGGACACUGCGUACUGGUACUGUCCUGUCCGCAGUGAAGGCACCUCAGGACAGAGCCGCUGGGAGGAGGAGGACAGAGGGGAGUGGGAAGCUGUGUCCCACCAGUUCUGUCCAAGAUGGGAAGGGAAACAACCGAGGGCUGGGUGUGUCCCGUGUGGAAGGACUGGUCCCUGGGCCCAAGUUGGACCGAGAAGGCCAGCCUCCCAGGUAGGGCAGAGCCUGGCCAGAGGGGCUUUGUACAGGGGAGGAGAAGGGAGGCCCUGAGGCUGGGGGGAACCUGGGAGUGCCCGUGGGGAAGGAGAGGAGGGAAGGGGACCCAGAGGGGUCCCACAGUGGGGUGAUUCCUGGACCUGGGGUCUGAAAGAACAAUUGGGACCCACAUCCUGGACCUGAGGGGCCCCAACUCAACAGGAAAGGAGUUGGGUGGUGUGGGCUAAGCCAACAUGCUCUGCCCAUUGUCCAGAGUGAGAAACUGAGGUCAGCCUGAGUACCACAGAGGGGACACAGGGACCUGUGGCCUCCCUGCACACCUGGGCUGGGGCUUGGGCCAGUUGGAGCCAGCCAGGUCCCUGGGCCCCUGGACUUGGACAGGGACACCGUGCAGGGAAGUGCAGUAGCUGGCAAACAGCUUACCCACCCGCACCACCCUUGGGGAGAGGACACUGUCCAGCUAGGACUUGCAGUCUCCUGAGCAUAGCCAGUCACCCUGCACUCUGUGGACCUCCUUGCCUGACCCCUAACCCGUGUGCUGCUGAGGAAGUGGAGGGGAUCCUUGCCUGUUCUCACCGAAGCCCUUCAUCCCUUAGUGCCUCUUGCUGUGGCAGUGUCCAGGGCUUGGUCCCCUGUGCCUCCCAGCUGCUCGGAGUGGCUUUUCCCCACAGGUGGAGCCCACCUCCCCCAGGGCACCCUUGGCCUCUGGAACCCAGGGGUCCAAGUCAGAGCCUGGCCUGACUGUGUCAUCUUCCCUAAGCUUUGGCUGGUGGGCAGCUGGCCCCUGGCUAGUGUCAUUGUCCUCUGGGGACUGGCUGGGUAUGGCAUCACCUGUCUGGAGUUUGGGAGGGGCAGAGCCUGCUGACCUGCCCUCUCAUCACCUCUCUCCAGCAAUGGCCUUAAAAUGCUACACCUGUUUCGAACCCACGGGUGUGUCCAGCUGCAUCACCAUCACCAACUGCGAUGCCAACGAAACUAUGUGCAAGACCACGCUCUACUCCCGAGAGAUUGGUCAGUAGGCAUUGGGUGGGGCAGGACUGGGACCCAGGGUCACAGCUGCCUCCAGCCCAGUCUCCCCUGGCCAGCUGGGCCCCCUGUCAGCAUGAAGCCACCAGCUAUAGGACCACUUGGGCCUUCUCCCUCCUUCCCCUCUUCCUCCUCCUAGUGAGUGAGGCCAGGAACCAACCGCACAACGCCCUGUGUGCCCCUGGCCCCUCACUCAGCAGGGACCACGGGGAUGGGGGACUCUGGGGCUGGGGCUGGGAAGCAGUAAAGAACUGACCCUUAGGGCCAAUGCCUCCUGUACUCCACAGUGUACCCCUUCCUGGGAGACUCCACAGUGACCAAAUCCUGCGCCAGCAGGUGUGAGCCCUCGGAUGUCGACGGCAUUGGCCAGACCCGGCCAGUGUCCUGCUGCAACACUGAGCUGUGCAACGUGGACGGGGCGCUCUCCCUGGGCAGCCCCCACAGCCUGGCCCUCGCCCUCACGCUCACCCCGCUCCUGGGGCUCCUGCUGUAGAGCCCUGCCCACCCUACUGCCCCACCAGUGCCCGGCCCCACCCUCUGCCUUGAAGAAAUACAGCUGCCUCCGGAACCCGGC